Molecule: ribosomal RNA, 99 nt
Filed under: Pediococcus acidilactici
Lineage: Bacteria; Bacillati; Bacillota; Bacilli; Lactobacillales; Lactobacillaceae
Also listed under: 1 other name
Source: RNAcentral
AAGGAUAUACCUGUUCCCAUGUCGAACACAGAAGUCAAGCUUCUUAACGCCAAGAGUAGUUGGGGGAUCGCCCCCUGCGAGGGUAGGACGUUGCCAUGC